UUAAAAAUAAGCUAAAAUUAAGCUUUUGGGUUCAUACCUCAAAUAUAAAGAUAAUAACUUUUUUUUAAA
RNAcentral lists this transfer RNA (69 nucleotides) under Parapoynx crisonalis. RNAcentral describes it as "tRNA-Met". Lineage: Eukaryota; Metazoa; Arthropoda; Insecta; Lepidoptera; Crambidae. The record is from RNAcentral. RNAcentral also lists the same sequence under 1 other name.